GCGCCCGUAGCUCAGUGGAUUAGAGCAGGCGGUUUCUACCCGCUUUGUCGGGGGUUCGAGUCCUCCCGGGCGCG
This 74-nucleotide transfer RNA is filed under the name Actinomycetota bacterium. Its description in RNAcentral is "tRNA-Arg". It matches the Rfam family "tRNA". Rfam says of the family: Transfer RNA (tRNA) molecules are approximately 80 nucleotides in length. Their secondary structure includes four short double-helical elements and three loops (D, anti-codon, and T loops). The record is from RNAcentral. Lineage: Bacteria; Bacillati; Actinomycetota.